Triticum aestivum (bread wheat) is the source of this 115-nucleotide non-coding RNA. NCBI's taxonomy places the organism in Eukaryota, Viridiplantae, Streptophyta, Magnoliopsida, Poales, Poaceae. The record is from Rfam.
CUAAUACUCCCUCCGUUCUAAAUUACUCGUCGCAGAAAUUAAUGUAUCUAAAAUUAAAAUACAUCUAGAUACAUCCAUUUCUGCGAUGAGUAAUUCGGAACGGAGAAAGUAGAUA